This 393-nucleotide ribosomal RNA is filed under the name Salmonella enterica subsp. enterica serovar Goldcoast. RNAcentral's name for it is "bacterial SSU rRNA". It matches the Rfam family "Bacterial small subunit ribosomal RNA", at positions 865 to 1258 of the family's 1533-position model. Lineage: Bacteria; Pseudomonadati; Pseudomonadota; Gammaproteobacteria; Enterobacterales; Enterobacteriaceae. The record is from RNAcentral.
UAGACCGCCUGGGGAGUACGGCCGCAAGGUUAAAACUCAAAUGAAUUGACGGGGGCCCGCACAAGCGGUGGAGCAUGUGGUUUAAUUCGAUGCAACGCGAAGAACCUUACCUGGUCUUGACAUCCACGGAACUUUCCAGAGAUGGAAUGGUGCCUUCGGGAACCGUGAGACAGGUGCUGCAUGGCUGUCGUCAGCUCGUGUUGUGAAAUGUUGGGUUAAGUCCCGCAACGAGCGCAACCCUUAUCCUUUGUUGCCAGCGGUUAGGCCGGGAACUCAAAGGAGACUGCCAGUGAUAAACUGGAGGAAGGUGGGGAUGACGUCAAGUCAUCAUGGCCCUUACGACCAGGGCUACACACGUGCUACAAUGGCGCAUACAAAGAGAAGCGACCUCGC